This is a small nuclear RNA of Callithrix jacchus (white-tufted-ear marmoset), 104 nucleotides long. The record is from Ensembl. NCBI's taxonomy places the organism in Eukaryota, Metazoa, Chordata, Mammalia, Primates, Cebidae.
GUGCUCACUUUGGUAGCACAUAUACUAAAAUUGAAAUGAUACAGAGAUUAGCAUGUGCUCUAAGCAAAGAUGACAUGCAAAUUCAUGAGCAUUCUUAAAUUUAC